Molecule: ribosomal RNA, 253 nt
Filed under: uncultured bacterium
Lineage: Bacteria
Description: partial 16S ribosomal RNA
Rfam family: Bacterial small subunit ribosomal RNA
Source: RNAcentral
GACGAACCGUCCAAACGUUAUUCGGAAUCACUGGGCUUAAAGGGUGCGUAGGCGGCGCGGUAAGUUGGGUGUGAAAUCCCUCGGCUCAACCGAGGAACUGCGCCCAGAACUACCGUGCUCGAGGGAGAUAGAGGUAAGCGGAACUUAGGGUGGAGCGGUGAAAUGCGUUGAUAUCCUAAGGAACACCGGUGGCGAAAGCGGCUUACUGGAUCUCUUCUGACGCUGAGGCACGAAAGCUAGGGUAGCGAACGGG